RNAcentral lists this ribosomal RNA (908 nucleotides) under Halomonas sp. K6-4-035. RNAcentral's name for it is "bacterial SSU rRNA". It matches the Rfam family "Bacterial small subunit ribosomal RNA", at positions 45 to 950 of the family's 1533-position model. The record is from RNAcentral. Lineage: Bacteria; Pseudomonadati; Pseudomonadota; Gammaproteobacteria; Oceanospirillales; Halomonadaceae.
GGCCUAACACAUGCAAGUCGAGCGGUAACAGGGGUAGCUUGCUACCCGCUGACGAGCGGCGGACGGGUGAGUAAUGCAUAGGAAUCUGCCCGGUAGUGGGGGAUAACCUGGGGAAACCCAGGCUAAUACCGCAUACGUCCUACGGGAGAAAGGGGGCUCCGGCUCCCGCUAUUGGAUGAGCCUAUGUCGGAUUAGCUAGUUGGUGAGGUAAUGGCUCACCAAGGCGACGAUCCGUAGCUGGUCUGAGAGGAUGAUCAGCCACAUCGGGACUGAGACACGGCCCGAACUCCUACGGGAGGCAGCAGUGGGGAAUAUUGGACAAUGGGCGAAAGCCUGAUCCAGCCAUGCCGCGUGUGUGAAGAAGGCCCUCGGGUUGUAAAGCACUUUCAGCGAGGAAGAACGCCUAGUGGUUAAUACCCACUAGGAAAGACAUCACUCGCAGAAGAAGCACCGGCUAACUCCGUGCCAGCAGCCGCGGUAAUACGGAGGGUGCAAGCGUUAAUCGGAAUUACUGGGCGUAAAGCGCGCGUAGGUGGCUUGAUAAGCCGGUUGUGAAAGCCCCGGGCUCAACCUGGGAACGGCAUCCGGAACUGUCAAGCUAGAGUGCAGGAGAGGAAGGUAGAAUUCCCGGUGUAGCGGUGAAAUGCGUAGAGAUCGGGAGGAAUACCAGUGGCGAAGGCGGCCUUCUGGACUGACACUGACACUGAGGUGCGAAAGCGUGGGUAGCAAACAGGAUUAGAUACCCUGGUAGUCCACGCCGUAAACGAUGUCGACCAGCCGUUGGGUGCCUAGCGCACUUUGUGGCGAAGUUAACGCGAUAAGUCGACCGCCUGGGGAGUACGGCCGCAAGGUUAAAACUCAAAUGAAUUGACGGGGGCCCGCACAAGCGGUGGAGCAUGUGGUUUAAU